This 207-nucleotide ribosomal RNA is filed under the name uncultured bacterium. RNAcentral's name for it is "partial 16S ribosomal RNA". It matches the Rfam family "Bacterial small subunit ribosomal RNA", at positions 568 to 774 of the family's 1533-position model. The record is from RNAcentral.
CUCGUAGGCGGCCAACUAAGUCAGACGUGAAAUCCCUCAGCUUAACUGGGGAACUGCGUCUGAUACUGGAUGGCUUGGAUUCGGGAGAGGAAUGCGGAAUUCCAGGUGUAGCGGUGAAAUGCGUAGAUAUCUGGAGGAACACCGGUGGCGAAGGCGGCAUUCUGGACCGAUAUUGACGCUGAGGAGCGAAAGCCAGGGGAGCAAACG